GACACGCUGUGACUAGCAUAUCAAUAAGCGGAGGAAAAGAAACUAACAAGGAUUCCCCUAGUAACGGCGAGUGAAGCGGGAAGAGCUCAAAUUUGAAAUCUUAAAGGGUUUCCCUUUACGAAUUGUAGUUUAAAGAAGUGUUUUCUGUUGAGGUUUUGGUAAAAGUUCUUUGGAAUAGGACAUCAUAGAGGGUGAGAAUCCCGUAUUUGACCUUUACUUUCAACUUUGUGAUACACUUUCAAAGAGUCGGGUUGUUUGGGAAUGCAGUCCAAAAUGGGUGGUAAAUUUCAUCUAAAGCUAAAUAUUGGCGAGAGACCGAUAGCGAACAAGUACCGUGAGGGAAAGAUGAAAAGAACUUUGAAAAGAGAGUUAAACAGUACGUGAAAUUGUCAAAAGGGAAGCGUUUGACACCAGUGUUGUUUUUCUGAAAAUCAAUUAAAGAACUGUUUAUGCUAAGUUGUUUAGACUUUAUCAGCUAACUGUUUAGUUUUGAGCUUUUCUUUAAUGCACUUUUCAGUUAACAAGUCAACAUCAAUUUCUUUUGCUGUAAAAAAGCUUGAGGAAGGUGGCUUGAGAUUCGUCUUAAGUGUUUAUAGCCUCUUGCCUAUGCAGUCGGAGAGAUUGAGGUCUGCAGCGUAGAUCCUUCGGGGCUAAAUGCAUUUGUGCUAAGUUAUAGCAUUUUAUAGACAACUUGUUGACUAUGAUUUGUCUUGUAGCUUACUCGCUUAUGUUAUUUUACCUACGCUUAGGAUGUUGACAGCAGUAUAGACUGU
RNAcentral lists this ribosomal RNA (773 nucleotides) under uncultured Neocallimastigales. Its description in RNAcentral is "partial large subunit ribosomal RNA". It matches the Rfam family "Eukaryotic large subunit ribosomal RNA", at positions 23 to 637 of the family's 3401-position model. The record is from RNAcentral. Lineage: Eukaryota; Fungi; Neocallimastigomycota; Neocallimastigomycetes; Neocallimastigales.